RNAcentral lists this long non-coding RNA (1074 nucleotides) under Numida meleagris (helmeted guineafowl). RNAcentral describes it as "lncRNA (ENSNMEG00000005781.1)". The record is from RNAcentral. Lineage: Eukaryota; Metazoa; Chordata; Aves; Galliformes; Numididae.
CAGCACAAAUGGUGUGCUCCUCAGCAAUCUUGCAGCUCCCACGAUUCAGGGAGCAGUGGGAAACCAGAGGCAGCUGUGGAAAAGCCUCUCGGCUGAGGUGAUGGAGCAUGCCCUGGUGGCAUAGCUGAACUCCUCCCUUCUGUGUGUUCUGUCUACAAUUGCAGAUCAAAGAACUGGUAGUAGCUUGUUUAGCAGCUAGUUUUUGCUAUUUUUCACUCCAUCCAACUUUCUAGAGCUCAGAGGGAGAUUUUCAAAGGCAUGAGGGCAUCGGAAACAGAAGAACCAGCUGAGACUCAAGUUUUAUGAUGGGGAGAGGCACUGAAGGAGAGAUGAAUUCCAGUAUGUUUUUGUUCUGAAUUAAAACAAAAAGUGACUUUUCAAACAUUUCCACUCAAAGGAAAAUGGGAAAAAUUUCAGUUCAGGAAAAUGUAAAAGUGUUUUGAGUUGAUGAAACCAUCAACAGCUGUCAUAACUUCUGACUCCUGGCUCUGCUGUGGCUCCCUCAAAUGCCCUGGGGAGCUUCUGUUCUGCUGGAAGCAGCUUGGGAAGUUCCCUGAAGAUAGGAGGGCUGCUCAGAUUGUAACUUCGAUGGCUGUCAGGCUUCAAACUGUGAAAGAAAAUCUGGAAGCCCUGGAUAUGCCAGCUAUGAUUAUUAGGGCUUCCAAGCCCUCUUCUGCUGGCUUGUGGACUUGCAAGUCCCGAAUGCUCUGGCAGUCAGCCUGCCAAGGUUGUUUUUCAUUGCCAAGUCUGAGAAGAUGGGUUUUCAGCAAUGAGUCAGAACUGUUUUACAAACAAAGAGCCUAAAGUUGCAAUGACAGUGGAUUGAUGGCCCUCUUUAUUCCUCCAAACAAGAAAGCUGAUCUGCCAUUGAUAUCCCUGAUGAUGCUUUUCUUUGCUAGACAAACAAAGACUUAAAGUUGCUAUGGAAAUACACAAAGCUCUCAGUUUAUGCAUUCAUCAAAAAAGGAUCAUCAUCAUCACAUAAUACUGAUUGCACACUGUCUUUCUCUAGGUAUUUGUUGCAAGAUCUAAUGUCAAAAUAAAGAAAAAGAGUGGGGUAUGCUAUUGUAUUAG